CAACAGGGAUUGCUCUAGUAACGGCGAGUGAAGCAGCAAUAGCUCAAAUUUGAAAUCUGGCGUCUUCGACGUCCGAGUUGUAAUUUGUAGAGGAUGCUUCUGAGUAACCACCGACCUAAGUUCCUUGGAACAGGACGUCAUAGAGGGUGAGAAUCCCGUAUGCGGUCGGAAAGGUGCUCUACACGUAGCUCCUUCGACGAGUCGAGUUGUUUGGGAAUGCAGCUCUAAAUGGGAGGUAAAUUUCUUCUAAAGCUAAAUAUUGGCCAGAGACCGAUAGCGCACAAGUAGAGUGAUCGAAAGAUGAAAAGCACUUUGGAAAGAGAGUUAAAAAGCACGUGAAAUUGUUAAAAGGGAAGGGAUUGCAACCAGACUUGCUCGCGGUGUUCCGCCGGUCUUCUGACCGGUCUACUCGCCGCGUUGCAGGCCAGCAUCGUCUGGUGCCGCUGGAUAAGACUUGAGGAAUGUAGCUCCCUCGGGAGUGUUAUAGCCUCUUGUGAUGCAGCGAGCGCCGGGCGAGGUCCGCGCUUCGGCUAGGAUGCUGGCGUAAUGGUCGUAAUCCGCCCGUCUUGAAACACGGACCAAGGAGUCUAACAUCUAUGCGAGUGUUCGGGUGUCAAACCCCUACGCGUAAUGAAAGUGAACGGAGGUGAGAACCGCAAGGUGCAUCAUCGACCGAUCCUGAUGUCUUCGGAUGGAUUUGAGUAUGAGCAUAGCUGUUGGGACCCGAAAGAUGGUGAACUAUGCCUGAAUAGGGUGAAGCCAGAGGAAACUCUGGUGGAGGCUCGCAGCGGUUCUGACGUGCAAAUCGAUCGUCAAAUUUGGGUAUAGGGG
RNAcentral lists this ribosomal RNA (831 nucleotides) under Cladosporium perangustum. Its description in RNAcentral is "partial large subunit ribosomal RNA". It matches the Rfam family "Eukaryotic large subunit ribosomal RNA", at positions 66 to 923 of the family's 3401-position model. The record is from RNAcentral. Lineage: Eukaryota; Fungi; Ascomycota; Dothideomycetes; Cladosporiales; Cladosporiaceae.